GAUGAACGCUGGCGGCGUGCCUAAUACAUGCAAGUCGAGCGAACAGACGAGGAGCUUGCUCCUCUGACGUUAGCGGCGGACGGGUGAGUAACACGUGGAUAACCUACCUAUAAGACUGGGAUAACUUCGGGAAACCGGAGCUAAUACCGGAUAAUAUAUUGAACCGCAUGGUUCAAUAGUGAAAGACGGUUUUGCUGUCACUUAUAGAUGGAUCCGCGCCUCAUUAGCUAGUUGGUAAGGUACCGGCUUACCAAGGCAACGAUGCGUAGCCGACCUGAGAGGGUGAUCGGCCACACUGGAACUGAGAAACGGUCCAGACUCCUACGGGAGGCAGCAGUAGGGAAUCUUACGCAAUGGGGGAAAGCCUGACGGAGCAACGCCGCGUGAGUGAUGAAGGUCUUCGGAUCGUAAAACUCUGUUAUUAGGGAAGAACAAAUGUGUAAGUAACUAUGCACGUCUUGACGGUACCUAAUCAGAAAGCCACGGCUAACUACGUG
Molecule: ribosomal RNA, 497 nt
Filed under: uncultured bacterium
Lineage: Bacteria
Description: partial 16S ribosomal RNA
Rfam family: Bacterial small subunit ribosomal RNA
Source: RNAcentral